Molecule: non-coding RNA, 922 nt
Organism: Saimiri boliviensis boliviensis (Bolivian squirrel monkey)
Lineage: Eukaryota; Metazoa; Chordata; Mammalia; Primates; Cebidae
Source: RefSeq, a predicted model, not a curated record
CCAUUUUAGAGAUGAGAAAACUAAGGCUCUGGGAGCUGAUGUGAUAUUCCAGGGCCACCAGAAUAAUGGCAAGAGUGGCAUCCACACCCUACCCGAUGUCUGAUUCUGGGGCUCAUCUUCUACCUCUACUCUCCUAUUUAUUAUUUCCCAUCUUUUUUUAUGCCUUCAUUCUUUCUGGAAAGACAUGCUGAGCGCCUGCACUGGGCCAGGCUCAGGGCUAGGCGUGGACCUCAUCACGGUGUACUCAGCCCAUCCUGAAUUUAAAUAAACAGCUCCCACGCAGGGAAACCAGCUCUGUGUGAAUUCUGGAGCGGGAAAUAUCAAGGCUACCUGGGGCACCCCAGGCAGUCUUCCUGGAGGAAGUGGCAAGUGGAAAGGAAACCAGAAGAAUGAGUAAGAGCUUAGAGACCUAUGAAGAGGAGAGAGCUCUCCCAAAAGAUCAGAGAAUGGCAGAACCCAGCACCUGGGGCCGGACACACCCCUGAUGACGACGGUUUACAGAGAAUCUGUCUGCUUCUGUGACACACCAACAGGCUGAGAGAAACCUGCCCUGAGUCAGCAGUGACAAGCCAGGGACAAAACCCAGGAGCCGGGAUCAUCAGCACCAUCCCGCUCCAUUUCCAGGGCCCAGGAAGUCCAGCUGCCACGUCUUUGCCCUAUUGCCAGUACACCUACGGACCCAGCCCUGCCAGAACCCUCAUUCCCUGCCAGGUCCCCUGGCUGCAUCAUAUCAGGAAGGGUACAACCACAUCUGAACUGUCCCAUCCCCUGGCAGGUGGCGGGGUGGGGCCAGGAACAGCCACACUGGUGAUUAGGUUUGAGCUUUGUAAUUUUUCAAUUUUUUUUUUUUUUUUUGAGGUAGUCUCACUCCGUCACACAGGCUGCGGUGCAAUGGUAUGAUCUCAGCUCACCGCAGCCUCCG